RNAcentral lists this microRNA precursor (95 nucleotides) under Macleaya cordata. RNAcentral describes it as "MIR2275 microRNA precursor family". It matches the Rfam family "MIR2275 microRNA precursor family". Lineage: Eukaryota; Viridiplantae; Streptophyta; Magnoliopsida; Ranunculales; Papaveraceae. The record is from Rfam by way of RNAcentral.
AAGUCGUAAAUGAGAGUUGUAGGAAACUGAACCAGUGAAACUUUAAUAUAUGCAAGUCUAUGGUUCAGUUUCCUCCAACAUCUCACCUCCGACCU